GUGUCAGCAGCCGCGGUAAUACGAAGGGGGCUAGCGUUGUUCGGAAUUACUGGGCGUAAAGCGCGCGUAGGCGGACUGGUCAGUCAGGGGUGAAAUCCCGGGGCUUAACCUCGGAACUGCCUUUGAUACUGCCAGUCUCGAGUCCGGAAGAGGUGAGUGGAAUUCCUAGUGUAGAGGUGAAAUUCGUAGAUAUUAGGAAGAACACCGGUGGCGAAGGCGGCUCACUGGUCCGGUACUGACGCUGAGGCGCGAAAGCGGGGGGAGCAAACAGGAUUAGAUACCCUGGUAGUCCACGCCGUAAACGAUGGGUGCUAGAUGUUGGGGGCCUUUGGCUUCCGGUGUCGCAGCUAACGCGUUAAGCAACCCGCCUGGGGAGUACGGCCGCAAGGUUAAAACUCAAAGGAAUUGGCGGGG
RNAcentral lists this ribosomal RNA (414 nucleotides) under uncultured prokaryote. RNAcentral's name for it is "bacterial SSU rRNA". It matches the Rfam family "Bacterial small subunit ribosomal RNA", at positions 505 to 918 of the family's 1533-position model. The record is from RNAcentral.